GUGGGGAAUCUUCCGCAAUGGACGAAAGUCUGACGGAGCAACGCCGCGUGAGUGAUGAAGGUCUUCGGAUUGUAAAGCUCUGUUAAUCGGGACGAAAGAGCCUAGUGUGAAUAAUGCUAGGAAGUGACGGUACCGGAAUAGAAAGCCACGGCUAACUACGUGCCAGCAGCCGCGGUAAUACGUAGGUGGCAAGCGUUGUCCGGAAUUAUUGGGCGUAAAGCGCGCGCAGGCGGAUCUGCCAGUCUGUCUUAAAAGUUCGGGGCUUAACCCCGUGAUGGGAUGGAAACUACAGAUCUAGAGUAUCGGAGAGGAAAGUGGAAUUCCUAGUGUAGCGGUGAAAUGCGUAGAUAUAGGAAGAACACCAGUGGCGAAGGCGACUUUCUGGACGAAAACUGACGCUGAGGCGCGAAAGCCAGGGGAGCGAACGGGAUUAGAUACCCUUGUAGUCC
Molecule: ribosomal RNA, 449 nt
Filed under: uncultured bacterium
Lineage: Bacteria
Description: partial 16S ribosomal RNA
Rfam family: Bacterial small subunit ribosomal RNA
Source: RNAcentral